GAUGAACGCUAGCGGCAGGCCUAACACAUGCAAGUCGAGGGAGAAGCCCUUUCGGGGGCAGAAACCGGCGCACGGGUGCGUAACGCGUAUGCAACCUACCUUUCACAGGGGGAUAGCCCGAAGAAAUUUGGAUUAAUACCCCAUAAUAUUAUUGGAUGGCAUCAUUUGAUAAUUAAAACUGCGGUGGUGAAAGAUGGGCAUGCGUCCUAUUAGCUAGUUGGAGUGGUAACGGCACCCCAAGGCUACGAUAGGUAGGGGUCCUGAGAGGGAGAUCCCCCACACUGGUACUGAGACAGGGACCAGACUCCUACGGGAGGCAGCAGUGAGGUAUAUUGGUCAAUGGUCGGAAGACUGAACCAGCCAUGCCGCGUGCAGGAAGAAUGCCUUAUGGGUUGUAAACUGCUUUUAUAUGGGAAGAAUAAGGCGUACGUGUACGUUGAUGACGGUACCAUAUGAAUAAGCAUCGGCUAACUCCGUG
This 478-nucleotide ribosomal RNA is filed under the name uncultured bacterium. Its description in RNAcentral is "partial 16S ribosomal RNA". It matches the Rfam family "Bacterial small subunit ribosomal RNA", at positions 28 to 507 of the family's 1533-position model. The record is from RNAcentral.